GAUGAACGCUGGCGGCGUGCCUAACACAUGCAAGUCGAACGAAGCACCUUACCUGAUUCUUCGGAUGAAAGUUUGGUGACUGAGUGGCGGACGGGUGAGUAACGCGUGGGUAACCUGCCCUGUACAGGGGGAUAACAGCUGGAAACGGCUGCUAAUACCGCAUAAGCGCACGAGGAGACAUCUCCUUGUGUGAAAAACUCCGGUGGUACAGGAUGGGCCCGCGUCUGAUUAGCUGGUUGGCAGGGUAACGGCCUACCAAGGCAACGAUCAGUAGCCGGUCUGAGAGGAUGAACGGCCACAUUGGAACUGAGACACGGUCCAAACUCCUACGGGAGGCAGCAGUGGGGAAUAUUGCACAAUGGGGGAAACCCUGAUGCAGCAACGCCGCGUGAGUGAAGAAGUAUUUCGGUAUGUAAAGCUCUAUCAGCAGGGAAGAUAAUGACGGUACCUGACUAAGAAGCGCCGGCUAAAUACGUG
Molecule: ribosomal RNA, 477 nt
Filed under: uncultured bacterium
Lineage: Bacteria
Description: partial 16S ribosomal RNA
Rfam family: Bacterial small subunit ribosomal RNA
Source: RNAcentral